This 254-nucleotide ribosomal RNA is filed under the name uncultured bacterium. RNAcentral's name for it is "partial 16S ribosomal RNA". It matches the Rfam family "Bacterial small subunit ribosomal RNA", at positions 524 to 776 of the family's 1533-position model. The record is from RNAcentral.
UACGUAGGGUGCAGGCGUUAAUCGGAAUUACUGGGCGUAAAGCGUGCGCAGGCGGUUGUGCAAGACAGAUGUGAAAUCCCCGGGCUUAACCUGGGAAUUGCAUUUGUGACUGCACGGCUAGAGUGUGUCAGAGGGGGGUAGAAUUCCACGUGUAGCAGUGAAAAUGCGUAGAUAUGUGGAGGAAUACCGAUGGCGAAGGCAGCCCCCUGGGAUAACACUGACGCUCAUGCACGAAAGCGUGGGGAGCAAACAGG